Mya arenaria is the source of this 271-nucleotide long non-coding RNA. RefSeq lists it as uncharacterized. The transcript has 4 exons. Lineage: Eukaryota; Metazoa; Mollusca; Bivalvia; Myida; Myidae. The record is from RefSeq and is a predicted model, not a curated record.
CUUUGUGCUUGUAUGACGCUGACUUUGGAGGAGAAUUUGAGUGGAUUUACGAAGCUGAAUGCCAUGAAGACAACCUCACCUCCCUCCAGCAGCUUUGGGCUGAGCAUUCCAUCAAAGCGACAAUGGUGAAGAGCAUGCUGAAUGACCUCGAGAAAGCUAAAGUGGAAACAGACUGUGACAUUGCGCCCUGGUGUGAUCUGAGUCCCCCUUUAGUGAUGCAGUCUGAAUGGCUCGUAGAAGACAGGAAUCCUAAGGCGCUGAUGGAGAGACA